CCUACGGGUGGCAGCAGUGAGGAAUAUUGGUCAAUGGACGCUAGCCUGAACCAGCCAAGUCGCGUGAAGGAUGACUGCCCUAUGAGUUGUAAACUUCUUUUAUAUGGGAAUAAAGUGCAGUAUGUAUACUGCUUUGCAUGUACCUUAUGAAUAAGGAUCGGCUAACUCCGUGCCAGCAGCCGCGGUAAUACGGAGGAUUCGAGCGUUAUCCGGAUUUAUUGGGUUUAAAGGGUGCGUAGGCGGGUUGUUAAGUCAGUUGUGAAAGUUUGCGGCUCAACCGUAAAAUUGCAGUUGAUACUGGCAGCCUUGAGUACAGUAGAGGUAGGCGGAAUUCGUGGUGUAGCGGUGAAAUGCUUAGAUAUCACGAAGAACUCCGAUUGCGAAGGCAGCCUGCUGGACUGUAACUGACGCUGAUGCUCGAAAGUGUGGGUAUCAAACAGGAUUAGAUACCCGGGUAGUC
This 460-nucleotide ribosomal RNA is filed under the name uncultured bacterium. Its description in RNAcentral is "partial 16S ribosomal RNA". It matches the Rfam family "Bacterial small subunit ribosomal RNA", at positions 338 to 795 of the family's 1533-position model. The record is from RNAcentral.